RNAcentral lists this ribosomal RNA (253 nucleotides) under uncultured bacterium. Its description in RNAcentral is "partial 16S ribosomal RNA". It matches the Rfam family "Bacterial small subunit ribosomal RNA", at positions 524 to 776 of the family's 1533-position model. The record is from RNAcentral.
UACGUAGGGGGCAAGCGUUAUCCGGAUUUACUGGGUGUAAAGGGAGCGUAGACGGAAUUGCAAGUCUGAUGUGAAAAUCCGGGGCCCAACCCCGGAACUGCAUUGGAAACUGUAUUUCUAGAGUGUCGGAGAGGCAAGUGGAAUUCCUGGUGUAGCGGUGAAAUGCGCAGAUAUCAGGAGGAACACCAGUGGCGAAGGCGGCUUGCUGGACGAUGACUGACGUUGAGGCUCGAAAGCGUGGGGAGCAAACAGG